GACGAACGCUGGCGGCGUGCUUAACACAUGCAAGUCGAGCGGUAAGGCCCUUUCGGGGGUACACGAGCGGCGAACGGGUGAGUAACACGUGGGUGACCUGCCCUCAGCUCUGGGAUAAGCCUGGGAAACCGGGUCUAAUACCGGAUAUGACUCCAUGACGCAUGUUGUGGGGUGGAAAGCCUUGUGCGGCUGAGGAUGGGCCCGCGGCCUAUCAGCUUGUUGGUGGGGUGAGGCCUACCAAGGCGACGACGGGUAGCCGGCCUGAGAGGGCGACCGGCCACACUGGGACUGAGACACGGCCCAGACUCCUACGGGAGGCAGCAGUGGGGAAUCUUGCGCAAUGGGCGAAAGCCUGACGCAGCGACG
This 366-nucleotide ribosomal RNA is filed under the name uncultured bacterium. RNAcentral's name for it is "bacterial SSU rRNA". It matches the Rfam family "Bacterial small subunit ribosomal RNA", at positions 28 to 396 of the family's 1533-position model. The record is from RNAcentral.